CAGUCGUACCGGCGGAUAAUCAGCCUUUCGGGCGCGAUUCUGUGGGGCGUGAGGAGCUUAACCGCCUUCAUGUUUUGCAUAUUCGCGCACAUUUGGUGUACUUGUCCGUGUGGUGGGUUAACAUCAAUUUCGGUCGUCAUAAAACGAUUGGAGGAAUGUAGCUUUGGUCUCGUAUCGAAGUGUUAUAGACUCUGG
RNAcentral lists this ribosomal RNA (195 nucleotides) under Rhizophagus intraradices. Lineage: Eukaryota; Fungi; Glomeromycota; Glomeromycetes; Glomerales; Glomeraceae. The record is from RNAcentral.